This 254-nucleotide ribosomal RNA is filed under the name uncultured bacterium. RNAcentral describes it as "partial 16S ribosomal RNA". It matches the Rfam family "Bacterial small subunit ribosomal RNA", at positions 524 to 776 of the family's 1533-position model. The record is from RNAcentral.
UACGUAGGGGGCAAGCGUUGUUCGGAAUGACUGGGCGUAAAGGGUGCGUAGGCGGUGUAGCAAGUUAGAAGUGAAAUACCUAGAGCUUAACUCAGGUGCUGCUUCUAAAACUGCUAUACUUGAGUGCAGUAGAGGAAAGUGGAAUUCCUAGUGUAGCGGUGGAAUGCGUAGAUAUUAGGAGGAGCAUCAGUGGCGAAGGCGACUAUCUGGACUGUAACUGACGCUGAGGCACGAAAGUGUGGGGAGCAAACAGG